This 492-nucleotide ribosomal RNA is filed under the name uncultured bacterium. Its description in RNAcentral is "partial 16S ribosomal RNA". It matches the Rfam family "Bacterial small subunit ribosomal RNA", at positions 29 to 507 of the family's 1533-position model. The record is from RNAcentral.
AGUGAACGCUGGCGGUAGGCCUAACACAUGCAAGUCGAACGGCAGCACAGUAAGAGCUUGCUCUUACGGGUGGCGAGUGGCGGACGGGUGAGGAAUACAUCGGAAUCUACUUUUUCGUGGGGGAUAACGUAGGGAAACUUACGCUAAUACCGCAUACGACCUACGGGUGAAAGCAGGGGAUCUUCGGACCUUGCGCGAUUGAAUGAGCCGAUGUCGGAUUAGCUAGUUGGCGGGGUAAAGGCCCACCAAGGCGACGAUCCGUAGCUGGUCUGAGAGGAUGAUCAGCCACACUGGAACUGAGACACAGUCCAGACGCCUACGGGAGGCAGCAGUGGGGAAUAUUGGACAAUGGGCGCAAGCCUGAUCCAGCCAUACCGCGUGGGUGAAGAAGGCCUUCGGGUUGUAGAGCCCUUUUGUUGGGAAAGAAAAGAAGCAGGUUAAUACCCCGCUGUUCUGACGGUACCCAAAGAAUAAGGACCGACUAACUUCGUG